UACAUGGGGUGCAAACGUUGCUCGGAAUUAUUGGGCGUAAAGCGCACGUAGGCGGUUCGUUAAGUCGGAUGUGAAAGCCCUCGGCUCAACUGAGGAAGUGCACCCGAAACUGGCGAGCUUGAGUACGAAAGAGGAUCGCGGAAUUCCCGGUGUAGAGGUGAAAUUCGUAGAUAUCGGGGAGGAACACCGGUGGCGAAGGCGGCGAUCUGGGUCGAUACUGACGCUGAGGUGCGAAAGCGUGGGGGAGCGAACAGG
RNAcentral lists this ribosomal RNA (255 nucleotides) under uncultured bacterium. RNAcentral describes it as "partial 16S ribosomal RNA". It matches the Rfam family "Bacterial small subunit ribosomal RNA", at positions 524 to 776 of the family's 1533-position model. The record is from RNAcentral.